AGAUUUAUUGCAUAGGGAUGGGCUCGCGUCCGAUUAGAUAGUUGGUGGGGUAACGGCCUACCAAGUCGACGAUCGGUAGCCGGACUGAGAGGUUGAACGGCCACAUUGGAACUGAGAAACGGUCCAGACUCCUACGGGAGGCAGCAGUGGGGAAUAUUGGGCAAUGGGCGAAAGCCUGACCCAGCGACGCCGCGUGAAGGAAGACGGUCUUCGGAUUGUAAACUUCUUUUAUAAGGGACGAAGCAUGACGGUACCUUAUGAAUAAGCCACGGCUAACUACGUGCCAGCAGCCGCGGUAAUACGUAGGUGGCGAGCGUUAUCCGGAUUUACUGGGUGUAAAGGGUGUGUAGGCGGGAUUGCAAGUCAGAUGUGAAAAUUAUGGGCUCAACUCAUAACCUGCAUUUGAAACUGUGAUUCUUGAGGGUCGGAGAGGUAACUGGAAUUCCUGGUGUAGCGGUGAAAUGCGUAGAUAUCAGGAGGAACACCGGUGGCGAAGGCGGGUUACUGGACGAUUACUGACGCUGAGACACGAAAGCGUGGGGAGCAAACAGGAUUAGAUACCCUGGUAGUCCACGCUGUAAACGAUGAAUGCUAGGUGUGGGGGUGCAAACCUCCGUGCCGCAGUUAACACAAUAAGCAUUCCACCUGGGGAGUACGGCCGCAAGGUUGAAACUCAAAGGAAUUGACGGGAGCCCGCACAAGCAGUGGAGUAUGUGGUUUAAUUCGACGCAACGCGAAGAACCUUACCAGGAUUUGACAUCCCAGGAACCCGGCGUAAUGGCUGGGGUGCCCUUCGGGGAAUCUGGAGACAGGUGGUGCAUGGUUGUCGUCAGCUCGUGUCGUGAGAUGUUGGGUUAAGUCCCGCAACGAGCGCAACCCUUACGUUUAGUUGCUACGCAAGAGCACUCUAGACGGACUGCCGUUGACAAAACGGAGGAAGGCGGGGAUGACGUCAAAUCAUCAUGCCCCUUACAUUCUGGGCUACACACGUACUACAAUGGCGAAAACAAAGGGAAGCAAUGCCGCGAGGCGGAGCAAACCCCAUAAUAGUCGUCCCAGUUCGGACUCCAGG
Molecule: ribosomal RNA, 1072 nt
Filed under: uncultured bacterium
Lineage: Bacteria
Description: bacterial SSU rRNA
Rfam family: Bacterial small subunit ribosomal RNA
Source: RNAcentral